Molecule: long non-coding RNA, 234 nt
Organism: Apis dorsata (giant honeybee)
Lineage: Eukaryota; Metazoa; Arthropoda; Insecta; Hymenoptera; Apidae
Exons: 2
Source: RefSeq, a predicted model, not a curated record
GUCGUGGAGAAAAACAUAUCGUUCUCGAGGAUCGAUGGAAGAUCUUUUCCUUCGAUUAGUUGGAUCUCUAAACUUUUCUCGGUUAAACAGAUUCAAAGUUGUCGUCGAGAAAAAUAUAUUAUUCUCAAGAAAGAAGAAGGAUCGAUCGAGAAAACUUGUCGAUAUUGGUCGAUAUCUCGUUCACCAUCCUUUCCUUUUCCUUCGAUUAGUUGGAUCUCCGAACCUUUCUUAGUU